UACGUAGGGUGCGAGCGUUGUCCGGAAUUACUGGGCGUAAAGCGCACGUAGGCGGCUUUCUAAGUCGGAGGUGAAAUCCUGGAGCUCAACUCCAGAACUGCCUUCGAUACUGGAGAGCUUGAGUCCGGGAGAGGUGAGUGGAACUGCGAGUGUAGAGGUGAAAUUCGUAGAUAUUCGGAAGAACACCAGUGGCGAAGGCGACUUACUGGUCCGGAACUGACGCUGAGGUGCGAAAGCGUGGGGAGCAAACAGG
This 253-nucleotide ribosomal RNA is filed under the name uncultured bacterium. RNAcentral describes it as "partial 16S ribosomal RNA". It matches the Rfam family "Bacterial small subunit ribosomal RNA", at positions 524 to 776 of the family's 1533-position model. The record is from RNAcentral.